This 590-nucleotide long non-coding RNA is filed under the name Hordeum vulgare. Its description in RNAcentral is "long non-coding RNA (HVUL_LNC006506)". The record is from RNAcentral. Lineage: Eukaryota; Viridiplantae; Streptophyta; Magnoliopsida; Poales; Poaceae.
AUGCAUAGUUAAAAAUGUUCAGUGUAGCGUUUGCCUAAAAAAUGUUCAAUGUGUAUUUAAAUAUUGUUCAGUAUAUAUGAAAAAAAGAGGUUUAAUGUGUAUUUAAAUAUUGCUCCGCAUAUAUUAUAUAAAUGUUCAAUGUGUAUUUAAAUACCGUAAUGUAUAUUACUGAAAUUUUAUUGUAUAUUAAGAAAUAUUCAACGUAUAUGAGAAAUUAAGAAUUUUUAAGAAUUUCAAAACUGUGUACACUUUUUUCAUUUUUUUUACUUUACAAAAAAUGUUCAUGUUCUAAAAGGUUUUUUCAGUUUCAUACUUUGUUCACGAUUUUCAAAGUUUAUUCGCAUUCUUUCUUGAAAUGUGUUCACAUUUUUUUCAGCAAAUGUCAAAGCUUUUCGAAAAAACGUAUCUUCCUAUGUACUUAGUAUUUUGAUUAUAUAGAUUCGAUUUGUCCACCAAUAGAUGUUAGCUCAACUGGUGAGGAAGCCAUCAAACUGAUGGGGGGUCUAGAGGUCAUGACCCAUCAUGUAUAUACCAAAUUGAAUACAGCUAGUGAAAGAUCUAUAUUGGCCUUUAUACUAUUUGUGAGGAAG